RNAcentral lists this long non-coding RNA (342 nucleotides) under Hordeum vulgare. RNAcentral describes it as "long non-coding RNA (HVUL_LNC007332)". Lineage: Eukaryota; Viridiplantae; Streptophyta; Magnoliopsida; Poales; Poaceae. The record is from RNAcentral.
UUUUCCAUAAGUUCGGCCGACUUGUGGUCCAACGUCCGCCGAUCCUCGGAUCUUCGCCCCACUUUGUUCUCCCAUUGCUUUCUGCUAUCAGUAAAAUCGCCAACGUAGAUGGAUCUUCCAAAAAAACAUUCAGAUGUUAGUUUUUUGCCAGCAUUACCUUAACCAGGUAUGUGAAGUGGCAAAAAAUGGUGCAGGUAACCAAACACAUCCUUAGUGUUUCAGUUUGCUAGUUCUGCAAUGCACGCGAUGUAAGUUGCUAUGGCGGAUAUCAAGGUUUUUUCUUUUAGAUGUGGAUAGCAAGGUUCAGAUCGAAAUGAUAGUUUCCCAAUCUGAAAAAAUGGA